This 353-nucleotide ribosomal RNA is filed under the name uncultured Allobrachymonas sp. RNAcentral's name for it is "bacterial SSU rRNA". It matches the Rfam family "Bacterial small subunit ribosomal RNA", at positions 1022 to 1382 of the family's 1533-position model. Lineage: Bacteria; Pseudomonadati; Pseudomonadota; Betaproteobacteria; Burkholderiales; Comamonadaceae. The record is from RNAcentral.
GAGAACCUGCACACAGGUGCUGCAUGGCUGUCGUCAGCUCGUGUCGUGAGAUGUUGGGUUAAGUCCCGCAACGAGCGCAACCCUUGCCAUUAGUUGCUACGAAAGGGCACUCUAAUGGGACUGCCGGUGACAAACCGGAGGAAGUGGGGAUGACGUCAAGUCCUCAUGGCCCUUAUAGGUGGGGCUACACACGUCAUACAAUGGCCGGUACAGAGGGUAGCCAACCCGCGAGGGGGAGCCAAUCCCACAAAGCCGGUCGUAGUCCGGAUCGCAGUCUGCAACUCGACUGCGUGAAGUCGGAAUCGCUAGUAAUCGCGGAUCAGCAUGUCGCGGUGAAUACGUUCCCGGGUCUU